RNAcentral lists this small nucleolar RNA (107 nucleotides) under Lupinus albus (white lupine). RNAcentral's name for it is "Plant small nucleolar RNA R71". It matches the Rfam family "Plant small nucleolar RNA R71". From Rfam's summary of the family: R71 is a member of the C/D box family of snoRNAs containing the C (UGAUGA) and D (CUGA) box motifs. Multiple nearly identical copies of this snoRNA have been identified in Arabidopsis, and it is thought to function as a 2'-O-ribose methylation guide for 18S ribosomal RNA. Lineage: Eukaryota; Viridiplantae; Streptophyta; Magnoliopsida; Fabales; Fabaceae. The record is from Rfam by way of RNAcentral.
AUCUGAUGAUGAGGACAACUAACACACAAUCUCUUAAACCUCUCCCAGUAGUCAUAUAAGCUCUCACCUUGUUGCUGCCUAAUUCCAGAGAUGUCCUUUCUGAUUUU